Molecule: non-coding RNA, 1040 nt
Organism: Oryzias melastigma (Indian medaka)
Lineage: Eukaryota; Metazoa; Chordata; Actinopteri; Beloniformes; Adrianichthyidae
Source: the annotation of a RefSeq genome assembly
AUGUAUCACUGUGAUGGCUAUGGCUCUUUUGACUACUGGGGAAAAGGAACAACAGUGACUGUAACAUCAGCCACUCCUCAGGCUCCUCAUGUGUUUCCUCUGAUACCAUGUGGCUCUCCAAGUGGAGACACGGUCACUCUUGGCUGCAUUGCCACCGGUUUCACCCCCUCUUCAUUGAAGUUCUCGUGGAAACUCGGCACCGACAGUUUGGAAAACGUCACCCAGUACCCUUCAAUCCUGGAAAAUGACAAAUACUUGGGAAUCAGUCAGGUUCAAGUCAGCCGACAGGACUGGGACGCUAAAAAGACUUUCCAGUGUGUUGCCACUCAUCAAAGCCAGGAUAUACUUGCUGAUGUGAAAAACACAAAUGUGCUGUAUAGGUCACCGCAUCUCACAACAAGUUUUUCCCUUGAUGAGGAAAAACAACAGGCUUCUUUCUACUGCUUUGCCAAAGAUUUCUCUCCUAGGAACCACAACAUCUCUUGGGAGAAAGUUGGCAGUGACAAAACCAGCAUCCUUGAUGAAACCAGUGUUUUCUCUGAAGGAAGAAAUGACACAAAUGGAGAUACGCUGUAUUCUGCAGCAAGUCUGCUCACAGUAAACCCCACUGAUCUGACUCCUGGAGCCACAUUUACAUGUGUGUUCGAGGGGAAAGGUGUGAACAAUACUGACGUGUUGGAAAAGGCUAAUGCCACCUACAAGGAAGAAUCUUCUGGAGUCCGAGCAGAGUUUCUGAAUGAAACUGUUUGCUCCUGCAAGGAGGAGGAGAAGGAAGCAGAGGAAGAUUCCAUGGCAAACACAGCUGUGACCUUCAUCUUCCUCUUCAUCAUGACUUUGCUGUUCACUGCUGGAACCACAAUGUCCAAGAUUAAAUGAAAAUAAGAAGAACCAGGAAGAUCAGUCAUUACUUUUUUUUUUUUACUCAAUUUUAAUGUUUCUUUUUUCCAUCAAUCUAUGUAAGUAAUCACAGCUGUUUUGAAAAUUCAUUCUUUGUAUCUUUUUCUUAUUUGAAUAAAAUAGGAAAAACAUUUGCCUCCCAA